Long non-coding RNA from Bufo bufo (common toad), 146 nucleotides. RefSeq lists it as uncharacterized. The record is from RefSeq and is a predicted model, not a curated record. NCBI's taxonomy places the organism in Eukaryota, Metazoa, Chordata, Amphibia, Anura, Bufonidae. The transcript is spliced from 4 exons.
UACUGCUGCAUCUACCGAGCGUCGCUGUGUGUACUGCUGCAUCUACCGAGCCGUCGCUGUGUGUACUGCUGCAUCUACCGAGCCGUCGCUGUGUGUACUGCUGCAUCUACCGAGCCGUCGCUGUGUGUACUGCUGCAUCUACCGAG